Molecule: ribosomal RNA, 468 nt
Filed under: uncultured bacterium
Lineage: Bacteria
Description: partial 16S ribosomal RNA
Rfam family: Bacterial small subunit ribosomal RNA
Source: RNAcentral
GACGAACGCUGGCGGCGUGCUUAACACAUGCAAGUCGAACGGAAAGGCCCUGCUUUUGUGGGGUGCUCGAGUGGCGAACGGGUGAGUAACACGUGAGUAACCUGCCCUUGACUUUGGGAUAACUUCAGGAAACUGGGGCUAAUACCGGAUAGGAGCUCCUGCUGCAUGGUGGGGGUUGGAAAGUUUCGGCGGUUGGGGAUGGACUCGCGGCUUAUCAGCUCGUUGGUGGGGUAGUGGCUUACCAAGGCUUUGACGGGUAGCCGGCCUGAGAGGGUGACCGGCCACAGUGGGACUGGGAUGCGGCCCAGACGCCUACGGGAGGCAGCAGUGGGAAAUAUUGCACAAUGGGCGGAAGCCUGAUGCAGCAACGCCGCGUGCGGGAUGACGGCCUUCGGGUUGUAAACCGCUUUCGCCUGUGACGAAGCGUGAGUGACGGUAAUGGGUAAAGAAGCACCGGCUAACUACGUG